UGCCAGCCGCCGCGGUAAUACGAAGGGACCUAGCGUAGUUCGGAAUUACUGGGCUUAAAGAGUUCGUAGGUGGUUAAAAUAGUUGGUGGUGAAAUCCAGAGCUUAACUCUGGAACUGCCAUCAAAACUUUUUAGCUAGAGUAUGAGUGAGGGCAUUAGUACUUAGCAGCUAGAGGUGAAAUUCCUAGAUUUGCUAAUGACUAACUACUGUGAAAGCAUUUGCCUAACUCAUUUUUGGUGAUCAAGUACUAAAGAGUGGGGAUCGAAGAGGAUUAGAUA
RNAcentral lists this ribosomal RNA (278 nucleotides) under uncultured bacterium. RNAcentral describes it as "partial 16S ribosomal RNA". It matches the Rfam family "Bacterial small subunit ribosomal RNA", at positions 506 to 784 of the family's 1533-position model. The record is from RNAcentral.